ACAUUUCUAGCUUGCUAGAAGAUGACGAGUGGCGGACGGGUGAGUAAUGCUUGGGAACUUGCCUUUGCGAGGGGGAUAACAGUUGGAAACGGCUGCUAAUACCGCAUAAUGUCUUCGGACCAAACGGGGCUUCGGCUCCGGCGCAAAGAGAGGCCCAAGUGAGAUUAGCUAGUUGGUAAGGUAACGGCUUACCAAGGCGACGAUCUCUAGCUGUUCUGAGAGGAAGAUCAGCCACACUGGGACUGAGACACGGCCCAGACUCCUACGGGAGGCAGCAGUGGGGAAUAUUGCACAAUGGGGGAAACCCUGAUGCAGCCAUGCCGCGUGUGUGAAGAAGGCCUUCGGGUUGUAAAGCACUUUCAGUUGUGAGGAAAAGUUAGUAGUUAAUACCUGCUAGCCGUGACGUUAACAACAGAAGAAGCACCGGCUAACUCCGUGCCAGCAGCCGCGGUAAUACGGAGGGUGCGAGCGUUAAUCGGAAUUACUGGGCGUAAAGCGCACGCAGGCGGUUUGUUAAGCUAGAUGUGAAAGCCCCGGGCUCAACCUGGGAUGGUCAUUUAGAACUGGCAGACUAGAGUCUUGGAGAGGGGAGUGGAAUUCCAGGUGUAGCGGUGAGAUGCGUAGAUAUCUGGAGGAACAUCAGUGGCGAAGGCGACUCCCUGGCCAAAGACUGACGCUCAUGUGCGAAAGUGUGGGUAGCGAACAGGAUUAGAUACCCUGGUAGUCCACACCGUAACGCUGUCUACUAGCUGUGUGUGCC
Molecule: ribosomal RNA, 760 nt
Filed under: uncultured Alteromonas sp.
Lineage: Bacteria; Pseudomonadati; Pseudomonadota; Gammaproteobacteria; Alteromonadales; Alteromonadaceae
Description: bacterial SSU rRNA
Rfam family: Bacterial small subunit ribosomal RNA
Source: RNAcentral